UACAGAGGUCUCGAGCGUUAGGCGGAAUCACUGGGCUUAAAGCGUGUGUAGGUGGAUCGUUAAGUACCUUGUGAAAUCCCACGGCUUAACCGUGGAACUGCUUGGUAUACUGGCGGUCUUGAGCCAGCUAGGGGCUACCGGAACAAAUGGUGGAGCGGUGAAAUGCGUAGAUAUCAAGAGGAACACCUGAGGUGAAGACGGGUUGCUGGGCCGACACUGACGCUGAGUGCGCGAAAGCCAGGGGAGCAAACGGG
Molecule: ribosomal RNA, 254 nt
Filed under: uncultured bacterium
Lineage: Bacteria
Description: partial 16S ribosomal RNA
Rfam family: Bacterial small subunit ribosomal RNA
Source: RNAcentral